Rosa rugosa (rugosa rose) is the source of this 245-nucleotide long non-coding RNA. RefSeq lists it as uncharacterized. Lineage: Eukaryota; Viridiplantae; Streptophyta; Magnoliopsida; Rosales; Rosaceae. The record is from RefSeq and is a predicted model, not a curated record. The transcript has 2 exons.
GGUGGUUAUUUUCACAUGAUCCAUUCUGGAGGCCUGCACAAAUGAAGACACUUUUACAUUAUGUUCCUGCAGGGAGGGUGGUAGUCCUUGAUCUGUUUGCUGAAAUGAAACUGAUAUGUGAAUUGAACUUGUAGAGUUAGAGUUUGAUUGAUUGAUGUACUGAGUACUGCUACUUGUACAUUUUUAAUUGUCAUUUUGUAAAUGAAAUUACUUAUAAUGAUAAUCUGAUUGAAAUGUUUCUCUUA